AUCCAGCUGACGAGUCUCAAGUCGAAUGAAACGCUCGUCCUGGAU
This 45-nucleotide non-coding RNA is filed under the name Schistosoma mattheei. The record is from RNAcentral. Lineage: Eukaryota; Metazoa; Platyhelminthes; Trematoda; Strigeidida; Schistosomatidae.